GGGAAUCCGUUAAGCAAGAACCGGGACCAGCUAUGAACUGCAGAAACCACCAGGGAAUCACAAACUCAAGAAGGAAACAUAGCCCCACUUGGCUUUCCCAAGCACAGCAGUAGGCAGAGGACAAAAAUAAUGAAGGGAAGGUAUCUGUCAUUGGUAGAGUGAGGCAGCAGAGGUGUCUGUCUCCUGAUUUGUGUAGACUGAAGAGCUCCACUUGGACUCUGCAUCACAAACGUCUGAGAAGUCCAGGUAAAAUGCGGUUAUGGCACAAUCACCUUGACUGUCUGGUCAUCCGGGCAGCCACAGCCUCUCACCCCGUUGUGACCUUUACACACCCUUCCAGCCCACAUCUGUUACGUAGGAGCCCAGGCACAUUUUUCACAGGCCGCUUCUGCAGCAGUAUCCACAGUAAUGCUUCCUUCAGAAAACUCACUCCAUCGACUUUCCAUGUUCCAGAGAUUUCUCCCAGUUUCAAUGCAUCAAAGAUAGUCCCCGCUCUCUGGCCCCUGUUCAUGGUUUCAAAGGAUAGACUGUUCGUCCUCGGUAUUUUGGGUGGAAAGGUGAAAUUGUCACUUUUGUUUAAACCCCUCCUCUUGAGCCAAAAGACACGAUAUGUUCUCAAUAAAUAGUUGUUGGAUGGAGGGAUGGGUAGAUUCAAUGUUUCCUUACCAAUUAAAAAAGUUUCAACUUUGAAAAA
This is a non-coding RNA of Peromyscus maniculatus bairdii (prairie deer mouse), 694 nucleotides long. The record is from RefSeq and is a predicted model, not a curated record. Lineage: Eukaryota; Metazoa; Chordata; Mammalia; Rodentia; Cricetidae.